AGUGAACGCUGGCGGUAGGCCUAACACAUGCAAGUCGAACGGCAGCACAGUAAGAGCUUGCUCUUACGGGUGGCGAGUGGCGGACGGGUGAGGAAUACAUCGGAAUCUACUUUUUCGUGGGGGAUAACGUAGGGAAACUUACGCUAAUACCGCAUACGACCUACGGGUGAAAGCAGUGGAUCUUCGGACCUUGCGCGAUUGAAUGAGCCGAUGUCGGAUUAGCUAGUUGGCGGGGUAAAUGCCCACCGAGGCGACGAUCCGUGGCUGGUGUGAGAGGAUGAUCAGCCACAUUGGAACUGGGACACGGUCCAGACUCCUAAGGGAGGCAGCAGUGGGGAAUAUUGGACAAUGGGCGCAAGCAUGAUCCAGCCAUACCGCGUGGGUGAAGAAGGCCUUCGGGUUGUAAAGCCCUUUUGUUGGGAAAGAAAAGCAGCAGGUUAAUACCCCGCUGUUCUGACGGUACCCAAAGAAGAAGCACCGGCUAACUUCGUG
RNAcentral lists this ribosomal RNA (492 nucleotides) under uncultured bacterium. RNAcentral describes it as "partial 16S ribosomal RNA". It matches the Rfam family "Bacterial small subunit ribosomal RNA", at positions 29 to 507 of the family's 1533-position model. The record is from RNAcentral.